This 425-nucleotide ribosomal RNA is filed under the name uncultured bacterium. Its description in RNAcentral is "partial 16S ribosomal RNA". It matches the Rfam family "Bacterial small subunit ribosomal RNA", at positions 354 to 796 of the family's 1533-position model. The record is from RNAcentral.
GUUAGGAAUAUUGGACAAUGGGCGAAAGCCUGAUCCAGCCAUGCCGCGUGAACGAUGAAGGCCUUCGGGUUGUAAAGUUCUUUAGCCGAUGAUUAUAAUGACUGUAGUCGGAAAAUAAGCCCCGGCUAACUUCGUGCCAGCAGCCGCGGUAAUACGAAGGGGGCGAGCGUUAUUCGGAAUCACUGGGCGUAAAGCGUGCGUAGGCGGUUUUGUAAGUUAGGAGUGAAAGCCCAGGGCUCAACCUUGGAAUUGCUCUUAAAACUGCAAGGCUCGAAUCUCGGAGAGGAUAGCGGAAUUUCCAGUGUAGCAGUGAAAUGCAUAGAUAUUGGAAGGAACACCAGUGGCGUAAGCGGCUAUCUGGACGAGUAUUGACGCUGAGGCACGAAAGCGUGGGGAUCAAACAGGAUUAGAUACCCGUGUAGUCC